GAGUUUUGAUCAUGGCUCAGAGCGAACGCUGGCGGCAGGCUUAACACAUGCAAGUCGAACGGUCCUUCGGGACAGUGGCGGACGGGUGAGUAACACGUGGGAACGUGCCCUUAGGUUCGGAAUAACACAGGGAAACUUGUGCUAAUACCGGAUGUGCCCUUCGGGGGAAAGAUUUAUCGCCUUUGGAGCGGCCCGCGUCUGAUUAGCUAGUUGGUGAGGUAAAGGCUCACCAAGGCGACGAUCAGUAGCUGGUCUGAGAGGAUGGCCAGCCACACUGGGACUGAGACACGGCCCAGACUCCUACGGGAGGCAGCAGUGGGGAAUCUUGCGCAAUGGGGGGAAACCCUGACGCAGCCAUGCCGCGUGGAUGAUGAAGGUCUUAGGAUUGUAAAAUCCUUUCAGCGGGGACGAUAAUGACGGUACCCGCAGAAGAAGCCCCGGCUAAC
RNAcentral lists this ribosomal RNA (446 nucleotides) under uncultured Alphaproteobacteria bacterium. Its description in RNAcentral is "bacterial SSU rRNA". It matches the Rfam family "Bacterial small subunit ribosomal RNA", at positions 9 to 501 of the family's 1533-position model. Lineage: Bacteria; Pseudomonadati; Pseudomonadota; Alphaproteobacteria. The record is from RNAcentral.